GAUGAACGCUGGCGGCGUGCCCAAUACAUGCAAGUCGAGCGAACAGACGAGGAGCUUGCUCCUCUGACGUUAGCGGCGGACGGGUGAGUAACACGUGGAUAACCUACCUAUAAGACUGGGAUAACUUCGGGAAACCGGAGCUAAUACCGGAUAAUAUAUUGAACCGCAUGGUUCAAUAGUGGAAGACGGUUUUGCUGUCACUUAUAGAUGGAUCCGCGCCGCAUUAGCUAGUUGGUAAGGUAACGGCUUACCAAGGCAACGAUGCGUAGCCGACCUGAGAGGGUGAUCGGCCACACUGGAACUGAGACACGGUCCAGACUCCUACGGGAGGCAGCAGUAGGGAAUCUUCCGCAAUGGGCGAAAGCCUGACGGAGCAACGCCGCGUGAGUGAUGAAGGUCUUCGGAUCGUAAAACUCUGUUAUUAGGGAAGAACAAAUGUGUAAGUAACUAUGCACGUCUUGACGGUACCUAAUCAGAAAGCCACGGCUAACUACGUG
RNAcentral lists this ribosomal RNA (497 nucleotides) under uncultured bacterium. RNAcentral's name for it is "partial 16S ribosomal RNA". It matches the Rfam family "Bacterial small subunit ribosomal RNA", at positions 28 to 507 of the family's 1533-position model. The record is from RNAcentral.